This 498-nucleotide long non-coding RNA is filed under the name Mytilus galloprovincialis (Mediterranean mussel). The record is from RNAcentral. Lineage: Eukaryota; Metazoa; Mollusca; Bivalvia; Mytilida; Mytilidae.
ACACAAAUGUGACAAUUUUGACUGAAGUUUUCUAUUUGUAUCAUAAUAUGAAUACCAAUUACUUUUAAAUGCCAUUAAUGGUUUACAUAUUUUUUUCAGUACAUGCAUGAAGAUGACUUGGAGGCAAUGGUGUCAUACAUGUUAGUUUUAACUAUAAUAGCCUAACUGAAAUUUGAAAAAAGUUAUCAGAGGAAAAGAGUGACCACUUCUUUCUUAUGAAGAUCAACACACACAAGGAAAUUAUCAGACAAUUUGUAACCAGAUAUGGGGGCAGUUUUAGAUAUAUAUGCAUGAAAAGAAAGUGAAAUCAAUGUUUUUUUAGAUAAAAGCUUGAUGAUAUAACACAAAUAUAACAGUGCUGAAUAUGAAAACCCCAUGCCAUGUCACAUGUAACUUUUGGAAUGCAGAGAUUUUCAGUAUUACAAUAAAAGGAAGGAUUUCAUUACUGUUAAAACUGACUCUGGAACAUUCAAGACAAAGAAAUAAAGAAAUAAAAAC